RNAcentral lists this long non-coding RNA (1316 nucleotides) under Coccomyxa subellipsoidea. RNAcentral describes it as "long non-coding RNA (CSUB_LNC000416)". The record is from RNAcentral. Lineage: Eukaryota; Viridiplantae; Chlorophyta; Trebouxiophyceae; Coccomyxaceae.
GUCACAUCAACACCUUCCUGCUUGCAACUCUGUACAGCUGCAGUGUGCGGAUGCACCUGAAGUUCCUUAAUCUAGACGUCUCAGGGUCCAGAGAUAUUAAACUGAGAGAUGCGCUUCAUGUUUGCGCUCCAAUUCGCUCCACAAGUAUUGGCUUGUCGUGCAAAAAUGUUCGCUCUCUUUCAUCAAAGUACUAGGCAUCGUGAUCCCUUUCCUCUUCUGUAUCGCUCAGUACGUCGGCUGGAUCGUCGUUUCUUCUCAAGGUGAGACCAAGAUCACGGAAGUUGAAUACAACUUUCGAGAUGUAUAUCACGCACGCACAUAGCAACACGAAAACUAGAAUACGCUCUGCAUUCUCUCCUAUAUUGGGCUCAAUCGAGUCCCCCAUGCCUCCAGCCCUGCUGAAAAGGUGAGAUCGGUUACCAGCGUAAUCUGCGGGAGAAAGAUGUUGAACUGCAUCAAUAUACAAUGCUCACCGUGCACAAGCUGGGUCGAAAAUGCUGCCCGCACGAUCUGCCCAGAAUGAAGAUCCUGGGCAGGAUUUCAUGAAUUCAGAACCCAUUUCAGAAGCUUUCAAAUCGCAGACCACUUUGCAUAGUGUCAAACCUUCCUGCAUCCCCAAUUUACUCAAUCAGCGCAAGCACUGGAGGAUGUUUGACAAUUGAGCGUGCAAAGCUUGAGGGGUCAUGGUUGAAACAGAGUCCUGCCCCUGCGGGCUUUGUGGCCAAGACGUUAAUCCAGGGAAGGAUUCCCAUAUCCGGAGCACAUGUACCUCGGAAGAAUGCGGCAGCUCUAUAUGGCAUUGGGAGUAAGUGCCAUUGCUCUCCCAAUGUUGGUUAGGGUCUUGAGCACCUCUUCUGACUGGACCAGACAUUGCUUGCAAUGUCACUCUUUUGCUGGUCUCAAUUGCGUUGCGUCGACGUUCGCGGUAUCAGGUAUCUGCAUGUCAUCUUGUUCACAGUACCUCCGGUUAUAUUUUGUCCGACGCAGAACGACUGCUGUGUAGGUGUAUCAAAGAAUAUCUGGAGAGCGGACAGGCCGAUAAGAAGGGUUGCUGCAACAGUAAGAAGUUAUUGGUGAUGAAGGUGUAAAUUCUUAUUUCCUUACAACGGGGAGAGACCCAAACAUCCUGUUUGGAAGACUUUAACUGUGUUGUAAGGAAGAUCAGAGUGAAACACUUCUCCACAAACACCCCGCGUCAGCUCUGCUGUUUUGCGCAGGUCGAUAUCCAGAAAAGGCCGUGGGAACACUUGAAGGGUCGCAACUGCCCUGUUGGCAGAGGUAAAUUUGCAGAGGCGCAAGAGGCUGAGCAGUGUCCU